Molecule: ribosomal RNA, 1116 nt
Filed under: Proctophyllodes neopinnatus
Lineage: Eukaryota; Metazoa; Arthropoda; Arachnida; Sarcoptiformes; Proctophyllodidae
Description: eukaryotic LSU rRNA
Rfam family: Eukaryotic large subunit ribosomal RNA
Source: RNAcentral
AUAAAUAAGCGGAGGAAAAGAAACCAAACGGGAUUCCCUUAGUAACGGCGAGCGAAAAGGGAAAUGUCCAGCACCAAGUCUUGACAUCUACGGUGUUCAAGAGAUGCGGUGUUAAUGUAUCGACCCAUCGUGCACUGUUCCACAUUUCAAGUUCCUACGACCGGGACUUCCAGAGCGGGUGUAAGACCCAUAGAGAUGAGGAACCAGUGUAUGCUGAGCGAUGCAUUCUAGAGUCAGGUUGCUUGAGAGUGCAGCUUAAAGUCGGUGGUAAACUCCAUCCAAGACUAAAUAUUACAGCGAGACCGAUAGCAAACAAGUACCGUGAGGGAAAGUUGCAAAGCACUUUGAAGAGAGAGUUCAAAAGUACGUGAAACCACUGGGAGGCAAACAGAUGGAACCACGAAGUGUGCGCCUCGGUCGAUUCAAUCAUCACCAUUUGUCAGUUUUUGKYAAUUAGGAUCUUUUCGGAGAUUGAUUGCCAAGAAUUAUGAUGGAUGGUGUUGGUGCAUUUCGUGCCGGGGAUGCUAAGCCACGUUCAACUAGAGUUGGGACGGCUGUAAGAAAGAAUCCGAGAAAGGUGCCCGUCACGUGCUUGCAUUUGACGGUGUUAUAGWCUUGGAUUGGCACCGUCACCUAACAUACUGGUUGAUGCAAAUUCUCCAUUUGGAGUUGAACCAUGUCUGCCUGUGGCUGUUAGUCGAUGUUGCGUAAUGUUCUUUGCGUAUCUUUCGAUGCGAAAAGACUUUGCAAAGAUGUCGGCYAAUGGUUGCUUGCGUGASAUGGUGGAACUGUGGCGCGAGUAGGUCGGUCUCCAUCUGACCCGUCUUGAAACACGGACCAAGGAGCCUAUCAUAUACGCGAGUCGCACGGUCUUGUWUAGGCCUGUGAGGCGGAAUGAAAGUAAWGUUACGAGGCUUCGGCUGCAGUAACGGCUCGCCCACUUUGUUUAUUGGCAAUAUGGCGAAGCUGGAGCGUAUACGAUGGUACCCGAAAGAUGGUGAACUAUGCCUGGGCAAGACGAAGCCAGAGGAAACUCUGGUGGAGGUCUGUAGCGAUUCUGACGUGCAAAUCGAUCGUCAGACCUGGGUAUAGGGGCGAAAGACUAAUCGAACCAUC